Rattus norvegicus (Norway rat) is the source of this 360-nucleotide non-coding RNA. Lineage: Eukaryota; Metazoa; Chordata; Mammalia; Rodentia; Muridae. The record is from RefSeq and is a predicted model, not a curated record.
UUGCUGGAACUACCGGGAAUUCAACCGCAGGCUAGGCGCCGGAACUGGUCCGCCCUUUAUUUAUUAUUUACCGCAACAAAAUCCCGGUCCUGAGCCUGGAGUGGCCAGAAGAAAGACACCCAAGCACCCACCAAGGACGCCACUGCAUAAACAUCUGCAAGAAAAACUAUUGGGAGCUGGAGAGACGUCUCAGCGGUUAGAGCACCGACUAGACCAGCAGUCCUGAGUUCAAUUCCCAGCAACCACAUGGUGGUUCACAACCAUCUGUAAUGAGACCCAAUGCUCUCUUCUGGUGUGUCUGAAGACAGCGACAGUGUUCCCACAUACAUGAAAUAAAUAAAUAAAUCUUAAAAAAAAAAA